This 506-nucleotide ribosomal RNA is filed under the name uncultured Sphingobacteriales bacterium. Its description in RNAcentral is "partial 16S ribosomal RNA". It matches the Rfam family "Bacterial small subunit ribosomal RNA", at positions 903 to 1382 of the family's 1533-position model. The record is from RNAcentral. Lineage: Bacteria; Pseudomonadati; Bacteroidota; Sphingobacteriia; Sphingobacteriales.
UGCGCCUUGCCAGCCCGCUCAGAAACUUAAAUGAAUUGGACGGGGGCCCGCACAAGCGGUGGAGCAUGUGGUUUAAUUCGAUGAUACGCGAGGAACCUUACCUGGGCUCAAAUGUAUGUUGACGUAUUCUGAAAGGGAUACUUCUUCGGACAAUAUACAAGGUGCUGCAUGGUUGUCGUCAGCUCGUGCCGUGAGGUGUCGGGUUAAGUCCCAUAACGAGCGCAACCCCUAUCAUUAGUUGCCAUCAGGUCAAGCUGGGGACUCUAAUGAAACUGCCUACGCAAGUAGUGAGGAAGGUGGGGAUGACGUCAAAUCAGCACGGCCCUUACGUCCAGGGCUACACACGUGUUACAAUGGCCAGUACAGAGGGCAGCCACCCCGCGAGGGGGCGCUAAUCCUAAAAGCUGGUCCCAGUUCGGAUCGGAGUCUGCAACCCGACUCCGUGAAGCUGGAUUCGCUAGUAAUCGCGCAUCAGCCACGGCGCGGUGAAUACGUUCCCGGGCCUU